CUGAUGGGCAUCUCCACAGUCAGACACAGAGGCAUCUUUGCUGUGUUCUGGGUCAGAAUGAGCACUGUGUGAUUUAUAUCUGUGUUCAUUUCAGAUGUUAAAUGUACACACAGUAUGUGUGUCCACCAGAUGUUUUCAAACAUUGUGACUGGAAUCAGGAGAGUGUUACUGGCGACACUGGUAGUGUCCUUUGUCUCCCUGGUGGUACUUGUUGGUGGAGAGAUGGUGAAUUCACUCUGGAGCACUCGAUUUCUAAUUCCAUGGGAGUUGGUACUGAUUAUCUUUGCCACUCUGUCAUCAGUGCAGUUUGAUCUGUCCGUCUCUCACCUCCCUCCCUUCCAUCAUUUUCUGUCUCUAAGGAGCUAUUAUUGA
This 372-nucleotide long non-coding RNA is filed under the name Sinocyclocheilus grahami. Its description in RNAcentral is "lncRNA (ENSSGRG00000030761.1)". Lineage: Eukaryota; Metazoa; Chordata; Actinopteri; Cypriniformes; Cyprinidae. The record is from RNAcentral.